Molecule: ribosomal RNA, 253 nt
Filed under: uncultured bacterium
Lineage: Bacteria
Description: partial 16S ribosomal RNA
Rfam family: Bacterial small subunit ribosomal RNA
Source: RNAcentral
UACGGGGGGUGCGAGCGUUGUCCGGAAUCACUGGGCGUAAAGGGCGCGUAGGUGGCGUGAUAAGGGUGUGGUGAAAGCCCGGGGCUCAACCCCGGGUCGGCCGUGCGGACUGCCGGGCUGGAGCACUGUAGAGGCAGGUGGAAUUCCGGGUGUAGCGGUGGAAUGCGUAGAGAUCCGGAAGAACACCGGUGGCGAAGGCGGCCUGCUGGGCAGUAGCUGACGCUGAAGCGCGACAGCGUGGGGAGCAAACAGG